Molecule: long non-coding RNA, 814 nt
Filed under: Lepisosteus oculatus (spotted gar)
Lineage: Eukaryota; Metazoa; Chordata; Actinopteri; Semionotiformes; Lepisosteidae
Description: lncRNA (ENSLOCG00000022782.1)
Source: RNAcentral
UCGGACCGGUGUCACUGUGGUCCUGCUGUCUCUGAGACCAGAUCAAUGUCACUGCGGUCCUGCUGUCUCUGAGACCAGAUCAAUGUCAGUGUGGUCCUGCUGUCUCUGAGACCGGACCUGCGUCACUGUGGUCCUGCUGUCUCUGAGACCGGACCGGUGUCACUGCGGUCCUGCUGUCUCUGAGACUGGAUCAAUGUCAGUGUGGUCCUGCUGUCUCUGAGACCAGAUCAAUGUCAGUGUGGUCCUGCUGUCUCUGAGACCGGACCUGCGUCACUACUGUCUCUGAGACGGGAUCUGUGUCUCUGCGGUCCUGCUGUCUCUGAGACUGGAUCUGUGUCACUGCGGUCCUGCUGUCUCUGAGACCGGACCGGUGUCACUGCGGUCCUGCUGUCUCUGAGACCGGACCGGUGUCGCUGCUGGAACGGGAGCUGCUCUCAGUCAGAGCUGAGGGAGAGAGAGGAGCAGGAGGGAGAGAGGGAGAGAGGCGGUUUGUUCAGAAGGUAGCUUUAUUGGGUGAAGAGCUCCCUGCCCACACGCCCGCAGUCGCCUCUCUCUGCCGGUCCCGUUACGGGACAGUCCGGUGUGGGGAGGGGGAUCUGUACAGCGCGACAGGGCGGGGCGGGGCGGGGCGGGGGGCAGGGAGGAAUGCAGUCAGGACGGGGAGCGGAGGGAGAGGUCGGGACGAGACUCUACUCCUCCUUCUCCUCUCCGUGUGUGAUGACGUAGCAGAUGUUCUUGUAGUCGACAUUGCCGGCCACAUCUGGAGGGAAGGCAGUCCAGAGGUUCUUCAUCUGAGAGAGAGAGAGAGAGAGAG